This 240-nucleotide ribosomal RNA is filed under the name uncultured bacterium. Its description in RNAcentral is "partial 16S ribosomal RNA". It matches the Rfam family "Bacterial small subunit ribosomal RNA", at positions 524 to 762 of the family's 1533-position model. The record is from RNAcentral.
UACGUAGGGUGCAAGCGUUAAUCGGAAUUACUGGGCGUAAAGCGUGCGCAGGCGGUGAUGUAAGACAGGUGUGAAAUCCCCGGGCUUAACCUGGGAACUGCAUUUGUGACUGCAUCGCUGGAGUGCGGCAGAGGGGGAUGGAAUUCCGCGUGUAGCAGUGAAAUGCGUAGAUAUGCGGAGGAACACCGAUGGCGAAGGCAAUCCCCCGUGGGCCUGCACUGACGCUCAUGCACGAAGCGU